RNAcentral lists this ribosomal RNA (497 nucleotides) under uncultured bacterium. Its description in RNAcentral is "partial 16S ribosomal RNA". It matches the Rfam family "Bacterial small subunit ribosomal RNA", at positions 28 to 507 of the family's 1533-position model. The record is from RNAcentral.
GAUGAACGCUGGCGGAGGGAAGAAUACAUGUAAGUCGAGCGAACAGACGAUUAGCUUGGUGAUAUGAAGUUAGAGGGUGAAGUGUGAGUAAAACUUGGAUAAAAUAAAUAUAAGAAUGGGAUAAAUUAGGGAAAACGGAGCUAAUACCGGAUAAUAUAUUGAACCGCAUGGUUCAAUAGUGAAAGACGGUUUUGCUGUCACUUAUAGAUGGAUCCGCGCCGCAUUAGCUAGUUGGUAAGGUAACGGCUUACCAAGGGAAGUAUGCGUAGCCGACCUGAGAGGGUGAUCGGCAACACUGGAACUGAGACACGGUCCAGAAGCCUACGGGAGGAAGCAGUAGGGAAUAUUCCGCAAUGGGCGAAAGCCUGACGGAGCAACGCCGCGUGAGUGAUGAAGGGAGUCGGUUCGUAAAACUCUGUUAUUAUGGAAGAACAAAUGUGUAAGUAACUAUGCACGUCUUGACGGUACCUAAUCAGAAAGCCCCGGCUCCCUACGUC